Molecule: long non-coding RNA, 291 nt
Organism: Chinchilla lanigera (long-tailed chinchilla)
Lineage: Eukaryota; Metazoa; Chordata; Mammalia; Rodentia; Chinchillidae
Exons: 2
Source: RefSeq, a predicted model, not a curated record
GUGCAUUCUAAUGAGCUGUUUACAAGUCUGUCUCCCCAGAGGACAGGAGCUCCUUUAGGCCUUCAAGGUGUAGACUUUACUUAGGAAUAGAUGGAAGAGGAGGAUAUUCCAAGAAAGGGGAAGAAGUACCUGAACAAUUAAAAUGAGCACAGUCCAGAUGGAAGAUGGAAGAUGAUACUCCAUUAGUCUAAAUUACUGUUCUAGUAAGUGGAGAAUUCCCCAAGCUGUUUGCUUUGCUGCCAGUCAGUCCUGUCAGGUGAAACAGAGAAUGAUAAACAAAGUAGGAAAUAA